Molecule: long non-coding RNA, 2029 nt
Organism: Ornithodoros turicata
Lineage: Eukaryota; Metazoa; Arthropoda; Arachnida; Ixodida; Argasidae
Exons: 4
Source: RefSeq, a predicted model, not a curated record
CGUUUUUUCCUGAGAGGGAAUUCCGGAAUACUCUCAACAUCCGGCGUCUGCUCCUGUCACGUAUUUAAUCGAAUCACGGCCAAACUAUGCCACUAUUCCGCAUGCACAGUAAAUUUUUUUACACCCAGUUUUGCACCAAAUCCGUGUUUUUCUACAUAAGCACCCCUUUUUACUCCCAGAGGUGUAAUAAAAGGCGUAAAAAACAGCGUAAGAAAAGGUGUUCUGAAAUUUACACGUAUUUUUACACCUACAGGCAAAUCAAAUGGUGUUACUAGAGUGUGAAAAAGGGUGUAAAUAUCAAAACACCCCUGUUACACGAUUUUUACUCUUUUUGCGCGAGUUAAGGGUGUUAAAAUGGUGUUAAAAGACGUCAAUGAUGGUUUUGAGAGAAAGGCUAUACUACCAUCACUGGUGUUUCAGAAGGCAUUAAGGAAGCACACACUGACGAGAUAUAGUGUUUAUGGCAGGCCAAAGUCAGAUGUGUGCAAUUAGCUUCGUUUCGUUAUUUUUCUUUUUUCCAAGAGGUAAACAGGCGUCGGUCCCCUGGCGGAAAACCCCGCCACGGGACCGACGCACGUUGGAGUCGGUGGGCGGCAAGCCAAGCCAAAUCAAGGCCGUCGGCGCGGCGUUCGUUUUUUUUUUUUCGUUUUGGUUCGUUUGGUAUGGUGAGGCCGCGUCCGUUACAGUGAGAUAGAGCUUGUUUUUCAGCAAAAAUGACAGACGCUACGUGCCUAGUUGUGGUGCUUCAUGCGGACAUUAGACAAAAGUGCCUGCUUGAAGAGGACACUCCAACUGCUUUGAGGAGUGCUAUCUCGGCUUCGAGAAUGUUGGCGUCAUACGUGAACGCCACUGACAGGAAUCAGGUUCGGGAUAGCGACUUCAGUGAGUGUUGAAUUCGCGGAGGGCGCUGAGAUAAUGCAUACGGCGACAGUACCCGUCUUGCAACCUCACCGCCAGGAACGCUCGAAGGAUCCAACCUCCUUGCUGUCCACGCCCUGCGAAUACUGGGUUCGUGUGUGAAGGGUUCCGAAGCAAUAAAGAACAUGUUUGUGCAUUAUGAUACACCUGUGCCGGUGACACCGUGCAUCAUGUUCACUGGGAGCAGCUUUCAAGAAGCGGAGCAUAUGGACCUCUAUGUCGGCGAGUAGCGCCUUCUCAGAACCAUCAACCUUGACGAGGGCUUGGCUGCUAUUCUUGCAGCUAUUGGUUAUUUCAUAUUGUCUACAGUUCAAAGCCGCACCGUACAUCUUGAAGCCUGGAAGAGCGGUGCCUGAAAGUGAGUGAUUCCCGUGCAAGAAGCCCCGUGGAUCAAUUUUUUCAACAGUUAUGGAAAAGAGCUUGUGAAUGCUUCGAACAUCUAAAACAUUUGCUACUUUAACUGACUUGUAGUGAGCCCUCCAUUCCCCCCCCUCCCGCCCACCUCCCAAACAGGCAGCCAUUUCGUCAAGGAAUUGGAAAUUCUUCGGAAGCACGGGUGUGUUCUUUCUUGUUCUUUGGCACUGAACUCUCAUAAGCAUGGGGGAUUACCUUUCUUCUGGCAAUGUAGCCAUCCAUUUGUCAACAUACCUGGCACAGCACAUUGCAUUUAGGGAAAUUGUUUUGGGUAUUCUGUGCUUCCAUUUCUAGUCUUUAGUAUGUGCUCUUGUUAAGAGAUAGUCUUCUAUCCGUUUUCCUUUUUCUUUUUUUUUUUGCUUGCCAGAAAAGCUGUUUUCUUUUGUAAAAGCUGUUUGCUGGCUGUUUUCAUUACCCUUUCGCAUCAACGUGCUAUAUUUGCACUAGCUUCUUAUUUGGUGUACUGGAUCUGUAGUGGUGCCUUAUGUGGAUUUAAACAUUUAAUAUGCCUUUUCAUCUUAUUUUGUGUCUCAUUGCUGCUGUUUCAAUUAGUUAUGUCAUCAAGGACUCAGUUCUGCUUUGCGUUCCUUCCACAUACUGUGCAUAUUGUUCCACUCUGGGCAACGUUAUAAGGAAUUUAGUUUCACAUGUGUACAUGCACUUGUACUUCGCCAAUAAACAUAACUUUGUUGUCAUA